AGUGCUAGAAAGUCUUACAAUUUAAAACGGAGGAAGUAAUAAUUUUAUCAGGCUCUGAAGUUUAGUUCAUCCCAGAUUACUGUAAUAUAGCAAUUGUUAAGUGGUAUAUUGACUGGAAAUGAAUUCCAGGUUGUGUAAUCUACACCCGUUUACCUAGUUUGUAGGUAGGAUUUCUGUAUGCUCACCAGGACUAGUUAUGUUUUCCCAAUAUCCCUGUCAUGGAACAUUUAUUUUCUUCAUGCUACUGCUUGCGUGGUUUCCUUGAUGUGCAUGUAAAUUUCAAAUGUGAUAUGAUGCUAGAAUGGAGCCGAUUAAUUUGUUAUCUACUGUCAUCCUGUGUCUAAACUCUAAACUAAACAAUUAUUAUGAUUCCGUAGCCAAAGCAGAUUCGUGAGGUCAAGGACUUCUUUCUCACUGUGAGAAGAAGGAUGCUCGUUCAGUGAACAUCAAGAGGAGCAAAGAUGUUUUCAAGUUCAAGGUCGGCUGCUCCAAGUACAUGUACACCCUCUGCACCUUCGAGCUGAGAAGGCAAACAGGUUGAAGCAAUUUAUCCCACCAGGUUUGUAAAAAGUGGCUCUAGUUCUGUUUAGCACUAUCUCAUUUCUGUUUGGGUAUCUGAGUAGUUUGUGCUGGUAUAAAUCUUGCUUACAAUUUUGUUCUUCUUAUUGAUGGGCAUUCUUUCUCUGCAACAUGAUGCUUUGUUCCAAUAUGUUUGUUGUUUAUAAUGCUGGUAUUGCUUAUAUCUGUUGGUUGAUGUCCCAGUGACGAUAAAAUUUUGCUCCAAAGAUGAUUAUUCUCUGGUUUUAGCUUCAAGCCCUCUGUCAUACCAUUUUGACACGGAUGGCUUGUGGCUAAAACCAUUAUCAAGAAUCAUCAAUGAUGGCCAAUAAUAGCUAUGAGAUCUGAGGGACAACCCUACAGUACAACAUAUUCUGGUAUCUCAAUUCUUUGUUAUCCUUGGUUCCUAUUGAACUGGAUGUGUUAUUGGAGAUGUCAACACAUUCUGGUAUCUCAGUUCUUUGUUAUCCUUGGUUUCUCUUGAACUGGAUGUGUUAUUGGAGCUGUCCCCAAGGAAGAUAAAAACUUUGUACCAAAUAUGGAUUUGCAAUUAGUUUUAGCUUCAAGCCAUCCUUCCUAAUUCAUAUGAUGUGUGUGGCUUUUGGUUAAAACUAGGUUACGCUUUUAAGUUCAUCAGUGAUUGGCAAUAGCUAUGAGAUCCGAGGGAUAUGGGUUAUGGUUUUUUCAGACAAAAAAAAAACUAUUAGCAGAUCAAGAAACUAUUUGAGCUGUCAAUUCUGUUUUUUUUUUAAAAAUAGAGAUGUUUUUAAUGAUGUAGAGAUUUUCUUUAUAUAAAUUUCUGCAUCUGAUAAUUUUGUUUUCAUUGAUCCAUGUCUGAGCGUCCAAGAGGUAUAAAGAUACAAAGGCAACAUCUUAAUGAAGUAUCCAAGGUCUUUGGUGCUGAGAAUGCAAACAAGUUGAAGCAAUUUCUCCCACCAGGUUCACAGAAAGUGUCUGGUUUGAGCAUCCAGGAGGUCUGAAGACACAAAGGCAACAUCUUUAGUGUCCAAGUUUCUGUCUGUUAGCAGUUCAUGCAAUGUGUUGAAUCUUUUGGACUCCUAAGCAAAUUAGACCUGCCUGUUCUUGAUCUGUAAUCUCCGCUUUGGAGAAAAGGUGUCUUUUGCCACAGUUCUGUGAUGCAGAUUUUCAGCUUAUUUUAACCCAGCAGAUUUUCAGCUUAUUUUAGAAAUAAACUGCUUUCUGGAUAAGAUUUCUCUCUUACAGUUUACAUUGCACUGAAUGAAGCUUUUUUUUUUGUCAAA
Long non-coding RNA from Oryza sativa Japonica Group (Japanese rice), 1820 nucleotides. RefSeq lists it as uncharacterized. Lineage: Eukaryota; Viridiplantae; Streptophyta; Magnoliopsida; Poales; Poaceae. The record is from RefSeq and is a predicted model, not a curated record.